UGGCCAAGGAUGAGAAAACUAAUCUGAUUGGAUAUCGUUCUGCUCUGAUGGUUAAAGGAUUAACUGAGGCCA
Molecule: small nucleolar RNA, 72 nt
Filed under: Vicugna pacos (alpaca)
Lineage: Eukaryota; Metazoa; Chordata; Mammalia; Artiodactyla; Camelidae
Description: Small nucleolar RNA SNORD93 (ENSVPAG00000018118.1)
Rfam family: Small nucleolar RNA SNORD93
About the family: The members of this family belong to the C/D class of snoRNAs which contain the C (UGAUGA) and D (CUGA) box motifs. Most of the members of the box C/D family function in directing site-specific 2'-O-methylation of substrate RNAs. The human orthologue HBII-336 (SNORD93) is predicted to guide the 2'O-ribose methylation of 18S rRNA A576.
Source: RNAcentral